RNAcentral lists this unclassified non-coding RNA (901 nucleotides) under Zea mays. Its description in RNAcentral is "misc RNA Zm00001eb042330". The record is from RNAcentral. Lineage: Eukaryota; Viridiplantae; Streptophyta; Magnoliopsida; Poales; Poaceae.
CUCCAUGUCUCGAUCGGUCCAAUCGCCCGCCGGCACCAGAGCCCGGCCUCGCCUCGACCCUUUUUUCCUCGGUAGCGGGCGCCCUUUUCAUCCACGUCCGCGCAAAAGCGCGCUCCCCGGCCCGUACCGUCACAUGACCCCCCCGCCGAGCGCCGCGCCGCGACGAGAUGCGUUGGCAGCCUCGGCUGGCCGGCCGGCCUAUUUAUUCCCACCAGGCCGGGACUCGCCCUCUCCGCGCCCGCCACGUAGGAACAGCUCGCUAGCUAGCAGGCUAGCUGGUGCGGCUGCCUCUUCGUUCGUGAGCGCCAUGGAGGAGAGGCGGAGGCCCCGCGGGAGCGCCAGCGGCUGGAGGCGCCCGUCGUCGCGCGCGGCCGGUGCUGCGCUGCGCCGAAAGGUGCGGGAGCUGCGCCGUCUCGUGCCCGGCGGGGAGGAGGCGCCCGCGGGGGCCCUGCUUGUCCGCACGGCCGACUACAUCGUGGGGCUGCGGGCUAGGGUGGAUCUUCUCAGGGCACUCGCGGCCGUCUACGGAGUCGGCGUGGGCGCCGUCGUCGCCGACGCCGCCGACGCUGAUGCGUGCGCUUCAUGAGUUGUUUAUCAACCACUAGUAGUAUAGUAUGCCGUAGAUUUGUGCGUGCAUAUAAACACGCACUUGAGGAUUCAUGCAUGCGGCUUUUAGUUAAUUUCAAAAAUAGCAUGCAGGCAUGCAGCCCAGCUCGUCGUCCCAUGCACGUACCACACUGGUACGUGUGCGCCCAUCAGUUUAACUUCAUUUGGAGAAAUGUUUGUGAAAUUCAGAAAUUGCAGGAAAGAUCGAUGUUGUCUACAAUUUUGGAUUCGUUGCUAUCUCUCUCUUCUUCUUUUUUUCUGAAGGUAUAUUCAUCUUAUUGUUGUUUAACUAGCC